GAUGAACGCUGGCGGCGUGCCUAAUACAUGCAAGUCGAGCGAACAGAUGAGGAGCUUGCUCCUCUGACGUUAGCGGCGGACGGGUGAGUAACACGUGGAUAACCUACCUAUAAGACUGGGAUAACUUCGGGAAACCGGAGCUAAUACCGGAUAAUAUAUUGAACCGCAUGGUUCAAUAGUUAAAGAAGGUUUUGCUGUCACUUAUAGAUGGAUCCGGGCCGAAUUAGUUAGUUGGCUAGGUAACGGCUUACCAAGGCAACGAUGGGAAGCCGACCCGAGAGGGUGAUCGGCCACACUGGAACUGAGACAGGGUCCAGACUCCGACGGGAGGCAGCAGUAGAGAAUCUUCCGCAAUGGGGGAAAGCCUGACAGAGCAACGCCGCGUGAGUGAUGAAGGUGUUCGGAUCGGAAAGCUCUGUUAUUAGGGAAGAACAAAUGUGUAAGUAACUAUGCACGUCUUGACGGUACCUAAUCAGAAAGCCACGGCUAACUACGUG
RNAcentral lists this ribosomal RNA (497 nucleotides) under uncultured bacterium. RNAcentral's name for it is "partial 16S ribosomal RNA". It matches the Rfam family "Bacterial small subunit ribosomal RNA", at positions 28 to 507 of the family's 1533-position model. The record is from RNAcentral.